AUGGCGAAGGUGCACCCGAACCUGGCCGUGCCGUCUCUGGGGAUGGCGGCGGCGGCGGCGGCCCGCGACGACGAGCCGGUGACACUGACGGUGUGGCGCAAGUCGCUGCUCUUCAACUGCCGGGGGUUCACGGUGUUCGACGCCAGCGGCAACCUGGUGUACCGCGUGGACAUCUACGCGUCCGACUCCCGCGCCGAGGUGGUGCUCAUGGACGCCGCGGGGCGGCCGGUGCUCACCGUCCGCCGCAAGAAGGCCAUCAGCCUCAUGGGCGACCAGUGGCUGGUGUUCCCCGGCGAGGAGACGCGCGCGCCGCCGCUCUACGCGGUGAAGCGCACGCCGCAGUACAUGCGCGGCGGCGGCAAGUCGACGGCGCACGUGGCGGCGUGCGCGGGCGGCGCGCGGUACGAGGUGGAGGGGUCGUACGCGCGGCGGUGCUGCGCGGUGUACGACGAGCAGCGGCGCGCGGUGGUGGAGGUGCAGCCCAAGGAGGCGGUGGGCACGGACGUGUUCCGGAUGGUGGUGCGGCCGGCGGGCAUGGACGUGUCGCUGGCCAUGGCCGUCGUGCUCGCGCUGGACCAGAUGCUCGGGAGGCCGGGGCUGCUCAGGAGCUGGUCCUCGUAG
This 621-nucleotide ribosomal RNA is filed under the name Triticum aestivum (bread wheat). RNAcentral describes it as "partial small subunit ribosomal RNA". The record is from RNAcentral. Lineage: Eukaryota; Viridiplantae; Streptophyta; Magnoliopsida; Poales; Poaceae.